GUGGGGAAUAUUGGACAAUGGGCGAAAGCCUGAUCCAGCCAUGCCGCGUGUGUGAAGAAGGUCUUCGGAUUGUAAAGCACUUUAAGUUGGGAGGAAGGGCAGUAAGUUAAUACCUUGCUGUUUUGACGUUACCGACAGAAUAAGCACCGGCUAACUUCGUGCCAGCAGCCGCGGUAAUACGAAGGGUGCAAGCGUUAAUCGGAAUUACUGGGCGUAAAGCGCGCGUAGGUGGUUUUGUAAGUUGGAGGUGAAAUCCCCGGGCUCAACCUGGGAACUGCCUCCAAAACUGGAUGACUAGAGUACGGUAGAGGGUAGUGGAAUUUCCUGUGUAGCGGUGAAAUGCGUAGAUAUAGGAAGGAACACCAGUGGCGAAGGCGACUACCUGGACUGAUACUGACACUGAGGUGCGAAAGCGUGGGGAGCAAACAGGAUUAGAUACCCGGGUAGUCC
RNAcentral lists this ribosomal RNA (450 nucleotides) under uncultured bacterium. RNAcentral's name for it is "partial 16S ribosomal RNA". It matches the Rfam family "Bacterial small subunit ribosomal RNA", at positions 354 to 796 of the family's 1533-position model. The record is from RNAcentral.